This 253-nucleotide ribosomal RNA is filed under the name uncultured bacterium. Its description in RNAcentral is "partial 16S ribosomal RNA". It matches the Rfam family "Bacterial small subunit ribosomal RNA", at positions 524 to 776 of the family's 1533-position model. The record is from RNAcentral.
UACGUAGGGUGCAAGCGUUGUCCGGAAUUAUUGGGCGUAAAGAGCUCGUAGGCGGUUCGUCGCGUCGGCUGUGAAAACCCGGAGCUCAACUCCGGGCCUGCAGUCGAUACGGGCGGACUUGAGUGUUGCAGGGGAGACUGGAAUUCCUGGUGUAGCGGUGAAAUGCGCAGAUAUCAGGAGGAACACCGGUGGCGAAGGCAGAUCUCUGGGCCGUAACUGACGCUGAGGAGCGAAAGCAUGGGGAGCGAACAGG